RNAcentral lists this transfer RNA (70 nucleotides) under Batrachomoeus trispinosus (three-spined frogfish). Its description in RNAcentral is "tRNA-Ser(UCN)". It matches the Rfam family "tRNA". From Rfam's summary of the family: Transfer RNA (tRNA) molecules are approximately 80 nucleotides in length. Their secondary structure includes four short double-helical elements and three loops (D, anti-codon, and T loops). The record is from RNAcentral. Lineage: Eukaryota; Metazoa; Chordata; Actinopteri; Batrachoidiformes; Batrachoididae.
GAGAAAAUGGCAGAAUGUUAUGCGGGUGGCUUGAAACCACUUUAUGGGGGUUAAACGCCUUCUUUUCUUG